UACCUACCCCACCCACAUCGAAAUCUGG
This 28-nucleotide unclassified non-coding RNA is filed under the name Mus musculus (house mouse). RNAcentral's name for it is "oocyte_clustered_small_RNA13641". Lineage: Eukaryota; Metazoa; Chordata; Mammalia; Rodentia; Muridae. The record is from RNAcentral.